RNAcentral lists this long non-coding RNA (946 nucleotides) under Brachypodium distachyon (stiff brome). Its description in RNAcentral is "long non-coding RNA (BDIS_LNC003610)". Lineage: Eukaryota; Viridiplantae; Streptophyta; Magnoliopsida; Poales; Poaceae. The record is from RNAcentral.
CGACACUUAUGGACCAUUUUGUACUAGUGUGUCAAACAAAAAGUUCAGCAACAUCAAUCGAGAUUCUUACAUGGAGAGCACCUUGCUUUCAAAUAUCUAAUGACCUGUGAAACAAACAAAGUUCCUGCAUAAAAGAAUCCAUUCACUAGCGUACCACUGUGAAACAUGAGCACAGGCAACUUGUCGUCUCCAUCAUCCCUCAGACUCUGGCUUCACGGUACCCAUCCACGGCAAAAUCUCCCGCUCCCUGGUUUCUGAUGAAACGACAGCAACACGAACCGCCCGCUCGCGCGAUUUACGGUGGCAGGCACAGACCGCACGAAACGACCCCUGAUCCUCUUCUCGGAGGAGACAAUGGAUGUGGAGCUCAUGGGGAGCCGCCACGGGAGAUCCAGUGCCUGCGUGAACGGGUGGCAUCUCCUGCCCGGGGGAGGGACCGUUGUUGUCUUCUGGGAGUCGAGUGAGGAAGAGAUCAGCGCUGCGAACUACGGCGGCGAGGUCAGAUCAGGAUCGGAGUGGCGGCGAAGGGGAAAGACGUAGGCGAUGAAGAGCCCAAGGAAUGGGGACGGGUGGAGCGCCCGGAAACGGCGGCGCAAGGCGGCGGACGAACGGACGGCGUGGAGGAAGGCGCGGCAGGCGAGGGCGGCGCGGACGAGGCUUGGGAGGGAGGGGGAGGCGGACGAAGAUCUCGGACAAUUAAAUUAGUCCCACACGGCUAAGCUAAGGAGGUUUGCGCCUAUUUAUAAUGUGGCUUCUGGUCCUGUAGAUCACCACCUGGCAUAUGUGGUAAGCUAAAAUCCAAUCGUUAAACAUAAGAUACUCCGUGAUAUGAUAUGAGUGUGCUUUAGAUGCUCAAGACUCAACCUAGUCAUACAUGUGGCGACUGGUUGGAGUCAUCUAGAUAGAUGUAGGAUAGGACUCAACCAGUCAACCUUAGCUCUGCCCA